CCAAGUGCUGGCAGUAAAGGCGUGUGCCACCACCGCCCGGUAAAAAAAUAUUUUAAUUAGUUUGUCUUUGUGAUUUAUCAACACAUUUUUCAGAUUAUUUCAUGGGUUUUAUUAUUAUUAUUUCAUUCUAUAACCCAGGCUAGGCUUGAAAUUGGGAUCCUUCUGUUUCAGUUCUGUUGAGUCCGGGGAUUACGUCUCAGCUGUGGUUUGUCUGUGGGCUAACAAUGAUUUUAUAUAUUCAGCCAUCCAUUCAUCCUUAACUAGUCACCACUGAUGACCCAGCACACCCCAUUGGGGCCGCUCUGCUAGCUUUAACAGGAAACAAGAUAAAUAAGACAUUUUAUUCCAUCCCACAGCUUUUGUCGUCUGGUUACCCUGGCAACAGACUCGGAGUCUGCGUUGUCAGAUAACACACAGUCCACACUGCAACUGGGACAGGACCUGGAGACAGCUCAGCAAAGGUGUUGCCUGUGUGUGAGCUACCGGAGAGGUUUCCGUUACUCCUUGAAACCAGUCAUUUCUCCACAAACAAGGUUUCCAGCCCAGAAAGCUGGGGCUCUGGGGCUUGAACUAGUAGCAUCCGGCAAGGGGGUAUGAAAGACAAUCAAAAUGUUAUAAGGAGAAAUGCCGCGCUUUCAUUAACUUUUACAUACAGACUUAAUCCUUUUCUUACUGGGGAUAUGUUUAAAUCAUGUGAGGAAUACUGGCAGCACAGUGUAGACAUAGCUGUCUUAUGAAUGAACACACAUGCUGAGCGCCCAGUGGCGUGGAGUAUUGAGUUGACUGAUCCUGUCCUUCAUCUUUGCUUAGCCAUACAUAGAACUCCGUGACAGGCUUACCAGGCCAGCUUUCCAAAGCCACCGGGGUCUGUUUGGAUCUGGUGGCUGAGAAGAGAAUUGUACAGGCUUUAGGAUGGUUAACUUUUGAGGUAGGUGAGCAGACUCUGCCAUGUCUGCCUGACGUAGCCUGUUGAGGGUUGGCUAACUGCUGCAAGGCAUGAUGGGUAAUGCCUCACACAAUGGGAGUGUGUGGGUCCCCCCAUCCCCCGCCGCCAUUUUUUUUUUCUGUAGUCAUAGCACCGGGCCAUAAAAAGACAGCUCAGUGCCUGAAUGCAGAUAGUCAUUCAGGGACCAAGAUGGCUGGUGAUGUCUGUGGCUUCCGCAACUGGUCCAGGCUCCAUUCAGAAGGCAGUUGAAAAGCUGGGUGAGGUGGUACAGGCCUGUUACCACAGCAAGGAAGGAGCAUCAUGAAUUCCAAGCCAGUCUAAGCUACACGGUGUUGCAAGUAGCUUUUGCUACUGUCUACGAUCCGGAACCGGCCAUGCUACCAGCCUACCACCCAGCUUUCCUUGAAUUUGCAGGACCCGGAAGUCCUGCCUAUUCCUUCUGCCCAGCGAUUGGCCAAUGGCAUCUUUACUGACAGAUCAAGAACCAAUUGGGGAACAGGACCACCCAUACACAAAGGUUCUGUUGCCAGAAUAAAACUGGUAGCCAUGCUUGUUAGCAGGAAGACUGGGAGAGGAGUGCUGGCUGCACAGUGGUGGUGGAGAGGAAUUUGGAUGCCUUUUGAUUUAUGGGGCAAUGACUUUUCAAGCCCCAGUUUUGCCUGCUAUUGAGAACUGGUUUGCUCCCUUUCUCAGGACCUCUGGUUAUGAUGUCAUUUUACCUAAGACCACAAACCUAACAGUUACAUGGCGCCUGGCAUGGGGGCUCAUUGUUUCUAUAGAUCGUCAGUUUCUUUUUUCUUUUUUUU
Mastomys coucha (southern multimammate mouse) is the source of this 1752-nucleotide long non-coding RNA. RefSeq lists it as uncharacterized. NCBI's taxonomy places the organism in Eukaryota, Metazoa, Chordata, Mammalia, Rodentia, Muridae. The record is from RefSeq and is a predicted model, not a curated record. The transcript is spliced from 3 exons.